GGGGAAAUAGUUGGCUGUUUCCAUGGAAAAUCAAAUCCAAAAGAAACCCAGAAUUCUUUGUCUCCAUGGAUUCAGGACUAGUGCUGCAAUCCUCCAGAAAUUAGUCCUAAGAUGGCCUGAAAAUGUACUAGAAAAAUUGGACCUUGUCUUCCUUGACGCUCCAUUUCCUGCUCGAGGAAAAUCUGAUGUUGAAGGCAUCUUCGAUCCUCCCUACUACGAAUGGUUCCAAGCCAACAAGGUCAGUCUUUCCAUUUUUCCUUCUCUUGAACAGAUUAUAGCUCCCUCAAAUCUAAAAAGAUUUAAAAUUUUCUUUUAUUGUCAUCAAAUGUAGGAUUUUACUGAAUAUUCGAAUUUUGGAGAAUGCCUUGCUUAUAUAGAAAAUUACAUGAUAGAGCAUGGACCCUUUGAUGGUCUUCUUGGUUUCUCCCAGGGUGCAAUUUUAGCAGCUGCUUUGCCAGGAAUGCAGAAAGAUGGUGUGUGUCUUACCAAGGUUCCAAAUAUCAAAUUUCUGAUAAUAAUAUCAGGGGCCAAGCUUGGUGGAUCCAAGUUUGGCCUGCCUAAACUGGCUGCAAAUGCAUUUUCAUCCCCCGUUCAGUGCCCCUCUCUCCACUUCAUAGGUAUGUGAAGCUAACCCUCUUGGAUGGAAGGAAAUGGAGAGAAGAGUUUCUCCAAAUCCAGAGAAUUGAAGUGAAAGGAAGGGUAAAGUAGAGAAAUUUUAAACCAAAAUAUUUCUUCGAAUAGAGAGAAAUUAUUAUUAAAAUAUUUAAAAAUCUUUUUAUAAUAUAUAAAUAUAUAAAAAACAAAAUAUAAUAAUUAAAAAUUAUAUUUCUUUUAUAUUUUAAUAAUUUAUUUUAACAACAUAAAAUAAAUUAAAAUUUUUUUAUUUUCUCAUUUUUUUUUAUAACCCCCUUUAUUUUUUCCAUCAAGUUAAAUAUCUAAACAAAAAGGGUAAAAUUCUAUUGAAAUUCUGUUGCUAAGACAAGAAAAGCAUAAUUUAGAUGGGUUGAAAAAAAUAAUUUUUUUUUAUUUAGAAUUUGUAUGUUUAACUUAAUUUUACAUUAAUUUUUUUAUGAAUAUAUAUAUAUAUUAAAUAUUUAUUAUGCAAUUAUCAAAAUUUGGUCAACUUGCAUCAAGUCAUCACGCCCACGCCCAAAAGGAAAAGAAAAACUAUAUACAAUGAAUUCCUAGAAUCUGCAAUUCCCAUUGGAAUGAGAACCUGCAUCUAUGGAAUUUCUAGUACAUGAGAAAAAAGAAACAAGAUUUUUACAAGUAGAAACCAACCCCUGAUCGAGUUCUGUGGAUCAAAAUCAGGCUGAUAUGUUACAUCCUUUAUGGGUUCUGUACUCCAGGAUCCCUUUAUACAGAAUUUGCCUAUUUACAGGCAUGGCCUCCAUGACUUUUGUACUACAACUCCUGUUCGUCAUCUGCCUUCCUUCUGUUAUCCUCGCCGAGUGCCUGUCACGAUAUUGUUUGUUAUUUGAUGAUGGCUCUAUCACAUCUUCUGCAAAUCGAACCCUCUUCUUGGCUUGGCAUCUCCUAGACCCCACUAAUUCAAAUUCAAUCUUCUUCAUGAAAUCGGAGACUAGACGUUUGUGGACUUGACGAGCAAUGAGAACUACGCUCCCUGAAACUGCAAAGGCAGCCAUGAAACCAAGUCCCAUAGAACUCGUCAUCUUUUCUUUUUCUUUUUCUCUCUUAAAACGUUAAAGGAAGGAACAUUUCAUGGAAUUUAAAGAAACCAACAUGGAAAAAGGCCACAGAGGAGAAGAGAAGAGAGGAAGAUAGAAAAGCAGCACGUAGAAGAAAUGGGAGGCGGCGGAGCGAGGAGUGGUUCCAGCCCGAAUGGAAGUGUAAAUUGGGGAAGAAAAGAGGAAAUUUGGUGAAGAGAGGAAGAAUAGGGCCCAGAGAAGAGAAGAUGUGGAAAAGCAGAGAGAAGGAAUGGAAGGCAAUGAGGCGAAGCAGCCGGAGCGUGGUGAGGCUGGAGGCGGAAUUCACCGAAUCAGCGGAAACGGCCCCAAAAGGAGCGGCGCGGUGAGGCCCCGCAAUGGGGCGGGGGGGGGCUCUUGUCGUUGCAGGCACUGCUUGGCCACAAAGCGCCCUGGAAUUCCCUGUGGUGGGGCAGAUUUUGGGAUAAAAAACGACGGAAAUGGUGAAUGUGUAUUUUUUUGGGGUGGGGAAAAAAAAAUUGCAAAAAAUGUGGAAAAAUAAGAACGCAACCCCAAAUCCAACGUCAUCACGCUCCGGCUGUACAGUGUUGUAGGUACCGGUGGUGCACCGCAGAGUAAGUGCCAAAUCCUUGUUUUCUUACCCCAAAAUGUUGUGCUGGGGGGGAUGGCGGAGCAGGUGGGGAAAGGAGGAUAAAAAGGUGGAAAAAGGGAAAAGUGCUGUUUUCUUUUGUGGGGGUCGGGGGGGUGUUCGAGUGUGUUUCCCCCCUCAGGUGUGGCAGCAACAGGCGACAAAGUGGAGGAGCAAUUAAAAAAAAAAAGCAUAUUAAGAUAAUUACGAUGAGAAAAUGAGAAAAAAUGGACCCUCAGGAUUUAAAGAUUUGAGCCAAGAAAGGGAAAUCUCAGCGGCCAGGAGCUUUUCUGCAGGGAGAUUUGAGGAUAAAACCCACAGAUUUGGGUAAUUGGGACUCUGAGAAGUAAGAAUUUUUUCUAAAUAAUUUAAAUUUUGGGGCGUUUCUGUGUAUUUUUGGCUGGUGGCUCGAUGGGGUCAGGGUUGUGUUGGGGGGGGUGGUGUGUUUUGGGGUGUUCUCCGCCCUUUUCGCAGAUGCAGUGAUAGGAAGCAGCGGCAGCUUUGGAAGAACAGAUUCUGUGAAAAGCCGCUUUUUGUCCUCAAAAAGGAGCUGGAAAAUCAGGAGUGCAGCUUGUGCCAGGAGCUUCGCUUAACAAAAAC
RNAcentral lists this unclassified non-coding RNA (2895 nucleotides) under Hevea brasiliensis (rubber tree). The record is from RNAcentral. Lineage: Eukaryota; Viridiplantae; Streptophyta; Magnoliopsida; Malpighiales; Euphorbiaceae.